UUAAGCGACUAAGCGUACACGGUGGAUGCCCUGGCAGUCAGAGGCGAUGAAGGACGUGCUAAUCUGCGAAAAGCGUCGGUAAGGUGAUAUGAACCGUUAUAGCCGGCGAUGUCCGAAUGGGGAAACCCAGUGCAAUUCGUUGCACUAUCGUUAACUGAAUACAUAGGUUAACGAGGCGAACCGGGGGAACUGAAACAUCUAAGUACCCCGAGGAAAAGAAAUCAACCGAGAUUCCCCCAGUAGCGGCGAGCGAACGGGGAGCAGCCCAGAGUCUGAAUCAGCUUGUGUGUUAGUGGAACGGUCUGGAAAGUCCGACGGUACAGGGUGAUAGUCCCGUACACCAAAAUGCACAGGUUGUGAACUCGAAGAGUAGGGCGGGACACGUGGUAUCCUGUCUGAAUAUGGGGGGACCAUCCUCCAAGGCUAAAUACUCCUGACUGACCGAUAGUGAACCAGUACCGUGAGGGAAAGGCGAAAAGAACCCCGGCGAGGGGAGUGAAAAAGAACCUGAAACCGUGUACGUACAAGCAGUGGGAGCACCUUCGGGUGUGACUGCGUACCUUUUGUAUAAUGGGUCAGCGACUUAUAUUCUGUAGCAAGGUUAACCGUAUAGGGGAGCCGCAGGGAAACCGAGUCUUAACUGGGCGUUAAGUUGCAGGGUAUAGACCCGAAACCCGGUGAUCUAGCCAUGGGCAGGUUGAAGGUUGGGUAACACUAACUGGAGGACCGAACCGACUAAUGUUGAAAAAUUAGCGGAUGACUUGUGGCUGGGGGUGAAAGGCCAAUCAAACCGGGAGAUAGCUGGUUCUCCCCGAAAGCUAUUUAGGUAGCGCCUCGUGAACUCAUCUUCGGGGGUAGAGCACUGUUUCGGCUAGGGGGUCAUCCCGACUUACCAACCCGAUGCAAACUACGAAUACCGAAGAAUGUUAUCACGGGAGACACACGGCGGGUGCUAACGUCCGUCGUGAAGAGGGAAACAACCCAGACCGCCAGCUAAGGUCCCAAAGUCAUGGUUAAGUGGGAAACGAUGUGGGAAGGCACAGACAGCCAGGAUGUUGGCUUAGAAGCAGCCAUCAUUUAAAGAAAGCGUAAUAGCUCACUGGUCGAGUCGGCCUGCGCGGAAGAUGUAACGGGGCUAAACCAUGCACCGAAGCUGCGGCAGCGACACUAUGUGUUGUUGGGUAGGGGAGCGUUCUGUAAGCCUGCGAAGGUGUGCUGUGAGGCAUGCUGGAGGUAUCAGAAGUGCGAAUGCUGACAUAAGUAACGAUAAAGCGGGUGAAAAGCCCGCUCGCCGGAAGACCAAGGGUUCCUGUCCAACGUUAAUCGGGGCAGGGUGAGUCGACCCCUAAGGCGAGGCCGAAAGGCGUAGUCGAUGGGAAACAGGUUAAUAUUCCUGUACUUGGUGUUACUGCGAAGGGGGGACGGAGAAGGCUAUGUUAGCCGGGCGACGGUUGUCCCGGUUUAAGCAUGUAGGCUGAUUGUCCAGGCAAAUCCGGAUAAUCAAGGCUGAGGUGUGAUGACGAGGCACUACGGUGCUGAAGUAACAAAUGCCCUGCUUCCAGGAAAAGCCUCUAAGCAUCAGGUAACAUUAAAUCGUACCCCAAACCGACACAGGUGGUCAGGUAGAGAAUACCAAGGCGCUUGAGAGAACUCGGGUGAAGGAACUAGGCAAAAUGGUGCCGUAACUUCGGGAGAAGGCACGCUGGUGUGUAGGUGAAGUCCCUGCGGAUGGAGCUGAGACCAGUCGAAGAUACCAGCUGGCUGCAACUGUUUAUUAAAAACACAGCACUGUGCAAACACGAAAGUGGACGUAUACGGUGUGACGCCUGCCCGGUGCCGGAAGGUUAAUUGAUGGGGUUAUCCGUAAGGAGAAGCUCUUGAUCGAAGCCCCGGUAAACGGCGGCCGUAACUAUAACGGUCCUAAGGUAGCGAAAUUCCUUGUCGGGUAAGUUCCGACCUGCACGAAUGGCGUAAUGAUGGCCAGGCUGUCUCCACCCGAGACUCAGUGAAAUUGAACUCGCUGUGAAGAUGCAGUGUACCCGCGGCAAGACGGAAAGACCCCGUGAACCUUUACUAUAGCUUGACACUGAACAUUGAGCCUUGAUGUGUAGGAUAGGUGGGAGGCUUUGAAGCGUGGACGCCAGUCUGCGUGGAGCCAACCUUGAAAUACCACCCUUUAAUGUUUGAUGUUCUAACGUUGGCCCCUGACCGGGGUUGCGGACAGUGUCUGGUGGGUAGUUUGACUGGGGCGGUCUCCUCCCAAAGCGUAACGGAGGAGCACGAAGGUUAGCUAAUCCUGGUCGGACAUCAGGAGGUUAGUGCAAUGGCAUAAGCUAGCUUGACUGCGAGCGUGACGGCGCGAGCAGGUGCGAAAGCAGGUCAUAGUGAUCCGGUGGUUCUGAAUGGAAGGGCCAUCGCUCAACGGAUAAAAGGUACUCCGGGGAUAACAGGCUGAUACCGCCCAAGAGUUCAUAUCGACGGCGGUGUUUGGCACCUCGAUGUCGGCUCAUCACAUCCUGGGGCUGAAGUAGGUCCCAAGGGUAUGGCUGUUCGCCAUUUAAAGUGGUACGCGAGCUGGGUUUAGAACGUCGUGAGACAGUUCGGUCCCUAUCUGCCGUGGGCGCUGGAGAAUUGAGGGGGGCUGCUCCUAGUACGAGAGGACCGGAGUGGACGCAUCACUGGUGUUCGGGUUGUCAUGCCAAUGGCACUGCCCGGUAGCUAAAUGCGGAAGAGAUAAGUGCUGAAAGCAUCUAAGCACGAAACUUGCCCCGAGAUGAGUUCUCCCUGAGACUUUAAGUCUCCUGAAGGAACGUUGAAGACGAUGACGUUGAUAGGCCGGGUGUGUAAGCGCAGCGAUGCGUUGAGCUAACCGGUACUAAUGAACCGUGAGGCUUAACCUU
RNAcentral lists this ribosomal RNA (2900 nucleotides) under Klebsiella oxytoca. RNAcentral's name for it is "bacterial LSU rRNA". It matches the Rfam family "Bacterial large subunit ribosomal RNA". The record is from RNAcentral. Lineage: Bacteria; Pseudomonadati; Pseudomonadota; Gammaproteobacteria; Enterobacterales; Enterobacteriaceae. RNAcentral also lists the same sequence under 1 other name.